RNAcentral lists this ribosomal RNA (253 nucleotides) under uncultured bacterium. Its description in RNAcentral is "partial 16S ribosomal RNA". It matches the Rfam family "Bacterial small subunit ribosomal RNA", at positions 524 to 776 of the family's 1533-position model. The record is from RNAcentral.
GACAGAGGGUGCAAACCUUGUUCGGAAUUACUGGGCGUAAAGCGCAUGUAGGCGGCCGCGUAGGUCGGAUGUGAAAGCCCUCGGCUCAACCAAGGAAGUGCAUUCGAAACCACACGGCUAGAGUCCCGGAGAGGAAAGUGGAAUUCUUGGUGUAGAGGUGAAAUUCGUAGAUAUCAGGAGGAACACCGGUGGCGAAAGCGGCUUUCUGGACGAGGACUGACGCUGAGAUGCGAAAGUGUGGGGAGCAAACAGG